Molecule: ribosomal RNA, 494 nt
Filed under: uncultured bacterium
Lineage: Bacteria
Description: partial 16S ribosomal RNA
Rfam family: Bacterial small subunit ribosomal RNA
Source: RNAcentral
GAUGAACGCUGGCGGCGUGCUCAACACAUGCAAGUCGAACGGGAAACUUUUCAUUGAAGCUUCGGCAGAUUUGGUCUGUUUCUAGUGGCGGACGGGUGAGUAACGCGUGGGUAACCUGCCUUAUACAGGGGGAUAACAACCAGAAAUGGUUGCUAAUACCGCAUAAGCGCACAGGACCGCAUGGUCCGGUGUGAAAAACUCCGGUGGUAUAAGAUGGACCCGCGUUGGAUUAGCUAGUUGGCAGGGUAACGGCCUACCAAGGAGACGAUCCAUAGCCGGCCUGAGAGGGUGAACGGCCACAUUGGGACUGAGACACGGCCCAGACUCCUACGGGAGGCAGCAGUGGGGAAUAUUGCACAAUGGGGGAAACCCUGAUGCAGCGACGCCGCGUGAAGGAGGAAGUAUCUCGGUAUGUAAACUUCUAUCAGCAGGGAAGAUAGUGACGGUACCUGACUAAGAAGCCCCGGCUAACUACGUGCCAGCCGCCGCGGUAA